Molecule: ribosomal RNA, 903 nt
Filed under: Curtobacterium sp.
Lineage: Bacteria; Bacillati; Actinomycetota; Actinomycetes; Micrococcales; Microbacteriaceae
Description: bacterial SSU rRNA
Rfam family: Bacterial small subunit ribosomal RNA
Source: RNAcentral
UCAGCUUGUUGGUGAGGUAAUGGCUCACCAAGGCGACGACGGGUAGCCGGCCUGAGAGGGUGACCGGCCACACUGGGACUGAGACACGGCCCAGACUCCUACGGGAGGCAGCAGUGGGGAAUAUUGCACAAUGGGCGAAAGCCUGAUGCAGCAACGCCGCGUGAGGGAUGACGGCCUUCGGGUUGUAAACCUCUUUUAGUAGGGAAGAAGCGAAAGUGACGGUACCUGCAGAAAAAGCACCGGCUAACUACGUGCCAGCAGCCGCGGUAAUACGUAGGGUGCAAGCGUUGUCCGGAAUUAUUGGGCGUAAAGAGCUCGUAGGCGGUUUGUCGCGUCUGCUGUGAAAUCCCGAGGCUCAACCUCGGGCUUGCAGUGGGUACGGGCAGACUAGAGUGCGGUAGGGGAGAUUGGAAUUCCUGGUGUAGCGGUGGAAUGCGCAGAUAUCAGGAGGAACACCGAUGGCGAAGGCAGAUCUCUGGGCCGUAACUGACGCUGAGGAGCGAAAGCAUGGGGAGCGAACAGGAUUAGAUACCCUGGUAGUCCAUGCCGUAAACGUUGGGCGCUAGAUGUAGGGACCUUUCCACGGUUUCUGUGUCGUAGCUAACGCAUUAAGCGCCCCGCCUGGGGAGUACGGCCGCAAGGCUAAAACUCAAAGGAAUUGACGGGGGCCCGCACAAGCGGCGGAGCAUGCGGAUUAAUUCGAUGCAACGCGAAGAACCUUACCAAGGCUUGACAUACACCGGAAACGGCCAGAGAUGGUCGCCCCCUUGUGGUCGGUGUACAGGUGGUGCAUGGUUGUCGUCAGCUCGUGUCGUGAGAUGUUGGGUUAAGUCCCGCAACGAGCGCAACCCUCGUUCUAUGUUGCCAGCGGGUUAUGCCGGGGACUCAUAGGAGACUGCCGGG